CAUUGGAUCCAGACUUUGAUUCUGGCUCAGGAUGAACGCUAGCUACAGGCUUAACACAUGCAAGUCGAGGGGAAACGACAUCGAAAGCUUGCUUCUGAUGGGCGUCGACCGGCGCACGGGUGAGUAACGCGUAUCCAACCUGCCCAUCACUUGGGGAUAACCUUGCGAAAGUAAGACUAAUACCCAAUGAUAUCUCUAGAAGACAUCUGAAAGAGAUUAAAGAUUUAUCGGUGAUGGAUGGGGAUGCGUCUGAUUAGCUUGUUGGCGGGGUAACGGCCCACCAAGGCAGCGAUCAGUAGGGGUUCUGAGAGGAAGGUCCCCCACAUUGGAACUGAGACACGGUCCAAACUCCUACGGGAGGCAGCAGUGAGGAAUAUUGGUCAAUGGACGAGAGUCUGAACCAGCCAAGUAGCGUGCAGGAUGACGGCCCUAUGGGUUGUAAACUGCUUUUAUAAGGGAAUAAAGUGAGACUCGUGAGUCUUUUUGCAUGUACCUUAUGAAUAAGGACCGGCUAAUUCCGUGCCAGCAGCCGCGGUAAUACGGAAGGUCCGGGCGUUAUCCGGAUUUAUUGGGUUUAAAGGGAGCGUAGGCCGGAGAUUAAGCGUGUUGUGAAAUGUAGACGCUCAACGUCUGCACUGCAGCGCGAACUGGUUUCCUUGAGUACGCACAAAGUGGGCGGAAUUCGUGGUGUAGCGGUGAAAUGCUUAGAUAUCACGAAGAACUCCGAUUGCGAAGGCAGCUCACUGGAGCGCAACUGACGCUGAAGCUCGAAAGUGCGGGUAUCGAACAGGAUUAGAUACCCUGGUAGUCCGCACGGUAAACGAUGGAUGCCCGCUGUUGGUCUGAAUAGGUCAGCGGCCAAGCGAAAGCAUUAAGCAUCCCACCUGGGGAGUACGCCGGCAACGGUGCAACUCAAAUGAAUUGACGGA
Molecule: ribosomal RNA, 929 nt
Filed under: uncultured Bacteroidota bacterium
Lineage: Bacteria; Pseudomonadati; Bacteroidota
Description: bacterial SSU rRNA
Rfam family: Bacterial small subunit ribosomal RNA
Source: RNAcentral